AGUGAACGCUGGCGGUAGGCCUAACACAUGCAAGUCGAACGGCAGCACAGUAAGAGCUUGCUCUUACGGGUGGCGAGUGGCGGACGGGUGAGGAAUACAUCGGAAUCUACUUUUUCGUGGGGGAUAACGUAGGGAAACUUACGCUAAUACCGCAUACGACCUACGGGUGAAAGCAGGGGAUCUUCGGACCUUGCGCGAUUGAAUGAGCCGAUGUCGGAUUAGCUAGUUGGCGGGGUAAAGGCCCACCAAGGCGACGAUCCGUAGCUGGUCUGAGAGGAUGAUCAGCCAACCUGGAACUGGGACACGGUCCAGACUCCUACGGGAGGCAGCAGUGGGGAAUAUUGGACAAUGGGCGCAAGCCUGAUCCAGCCAUACCGCGUGGGUGAAGAAGGCCUUCGGGUUGUAAAGCCCUUUUGUUGGGAAAGAAAAGCAGCAGGUUAAUACCCCGCUGUUCUGACGGUACCAAAAGAAUAAGCACCGGCUAACUUCGU
Molecule: ribosomal RNA, 491 nt
Filed under: uncultured bacterium
Lineage: Bacteria
Description: partial 16S ribosomal RNA
Rfam family: Bacterial small subunit ribosomal RNA
Source: RNAcentral